This 1554-nucleotide ribosomal RNA is filed under the name Enterobacter cloacae. RNAcentral describes it as "bacterial SSU rRNA". It matches the Rfam family "Bacterial small subunit ribosomal RNA". Lineage: Bacteria; Pseudomonadati; Pseudomonadota; Gammaproteobacteria; Enterobacterales; Enterobacteriaceae. The record is from RNAcentral.
UUAAAUUGAAGAGUUUGAUCAUGGCUCAGAUUGAACGCUGGCGGCAGGCCUAACACAUGCAAGUCGAACGGUAACAGGAAGCAGCUUGCUGCUUCGCUGACGAGUGGCGGACGGGUGAGUAAUGUCUGGGAAACUGCCUGAUGGAGGGGGAUAACUACUGGAAACGGUAGCUAAUACCGCAUAACGUCGCAAGACCAAAGAGGGGGACCUUAGGGCCUCUUGCCAUCGGAUGUGCCCAGAUGGGAUUAGCUAGUAGGUGGGGUAACGGCUCACCUAGGCGACGAUCCCUAGCUGGUCUGAGAGGAUGACCAGCCACACUGGAACUGAGACACGGUCCAGACUCCUACGGGAGGCAGCAGUGGGGAAUAUUGCACAAUGGGCGCAAGCCUGAUGCAGCCAUGCCGCGUGUAUGAAGAAGGCCUUCGGGUUGUAAAGUACUUUCAGCGGGGAGGAAGGCGAUAAGGUUAAUAACCUUGUCGAUUGACGUUACCCGCAGAAGAAGCACCGGCUAACUCCGUGCCAGCAGCCGCGGUAAUACGGAGGGUGCAAGCGUUAAUCGGAAUUACUGGGCGUAAAGCGCACGCAGGCGGUCUGUCAAGUCGGAUGUGAAAUCCCCGGGCUCAACCUGGGAACUGCAUUCGAAACUGGCAGGCUAGAGUCUUGUAGAGGGGGGUAGAAUUCCAGGUGUAGCGGUGAAAUGCGUAGAGAUCUGGAGGAAUACCGGUGGCGAAGGCGGCCCCCUGGACAAAGACUGACGCUCAGGUGCGAAAGCGUGGGGAGCAAACAGGAUUAGAUACCCUGGUAGUCCACGCCGUAAACGAUGUCGACUUGGAGGUUGUGCCCUUGAGGCGUGGCUUCCGGAGCUAACGCGUUAAGUCGACCGCCUGGGGAGUACGGCCGCAAGGUUAAAACUCAAAUGAAUUGACGGGGGCCCGCACAAGCGGUGGAGCAUGUGGUUUAAUUCGAUGCAACGCGAAGAACCUUACCUACUCUUGACAUCCAGAGAACUUUCCAGAGAUGGAUUGGUGCCUUCGGGAACUCUGAGACAGGUGCUGCAUGGCUGUCGUCAGCUCGUGUUGUGAAAUGUUGGGUUAAGUCCCGCAACGAGCGCAACCCUUAUCCUUUGUUGCCAGCGGUCCGGCCGGGAACUCAAAGGAGACUGCCAGUGAUAAACUGGAGGAAGGUGGGGAUGACGUCAAGUCAUCAUGGCCCUUACGAGUAGGGCUACACACGUGCUACAAUGGCGCAUACAAAGAGAAGCGACCUCGCGAGAGCAAGCGGACCUCAUAAAGUGCGUCGUAGUCCGGAUUGGAGUCUGCAACUCGACUCCAUGAAGUCGGAAUCGCUAGUAAUCGUGGAUCAGAAUGCCACGGUGAAUACGUUCCCGGGCCUUGUACACACCGCCCGUCACACCAUGGGAGUGGGUUGCAAAAGAAGUAGGUAGCUUAACCUUCGGGAGGGCGCUUACCACUUUGUGAUUCAUGACUGGGGUGAAGUCGUAACAAGGUAACCGUAGGGGAACCUGCGGUUGGAUCACCUCCUUACCUUAAAGAA